AACAUAGUACAUAGAACAUUGACAUACACAAAGCACACAAACAUGAACUAGACACAAAAUCUUAGGCAGAAAAUGGGACCACCACAUUUGAGCCUGUCUUAUGAAUUAUUUUGCAUGCAUUGUAUGGGUUUAUCACCUAUUCAUCUACAUUGUUUUGUCUAUUGUGUUGUAUUUUAUUAUUUAUUGCAGCAUGUACGGAAAUUCCUAACAGAAGUGUCCGGCAACAAGCUAGCAACAGCGCUUUUUCAGUUGGCAAUCUGUGGGGGCUCACUAGCUGUCCCACAGGACCAGGUGGCCAAUGAGAAAAAUCCCCAAACCUCUGAAAAAAAUGAUCCAAUGGAAGACAGACCUGCCACAUCAAUUCCCAGUGAAGCCAAAGUGAAGCAGUACCUAAAAGAUAGCCUGUCCUCGAUAAACUCAGCCAUCCAUUUGGCUGAUAUUGCCAUCAUAGAGGGGAAGUUGACCAAGCACUUCCAGGUCAAAGACUUUCAUUCCUUGGGUCAAGGCAGCUUCUUGGGAUUCUUGGCGAAACAUAUUCAGCUACUGCAGGACGUGCUUGGUCCAACUUUGAUUCUGAGAAGUGGUGGCAUGGAAUCUGCAAGAAGUUUUUCCAGACCCACCAAACAAGACAUAUUUGAGUUCAUCAAACAGUGUGGGCAAAAUACUUCUGGUGGUCAAGAU
This is a long non-coding RNA of Hippocampus comes (tiger tail seahorse), 681 nucleotides long. RefSeq lists it as uncharacterized. The transcript is spliced from 3 exons. Lineage: Eukaryota; Metazoa; Chordata; Actinopteri; Syngnathiformes; Syngnathidae. The record is from RefSeq and is a predicted model, not a curated record.